RNAcentral lists this ribosomal RNA (454 nucleotides) under uncultured bacterium. Its description in RNAcentral is "bacterial SSU rRNA". It matches the Rfam family "Bacterial small subunit ribosomal RNA", at positions 340 to 786 of the family's 1533-position model. The record is from RNAcentral.
UACGGGAGGCAGCAGUGGGGAAUAUUGCACAAUGGGCGCAAGCCUGAUGCAGCCAUGCCGCGUGUAUGAAGAAGGCCUUCGGGUUGUAAAGUACUUUCAGUCGUGAGGAAGGUGUUAAGGUUAAUAACCUUAGCAAUUGACGUUAGCGACAGAAGAAGCACCGGCUAACUCCGUGCCAGCAGCCGCGGUAAUACGGAGGGUGCGAGCGUUAAUCGGAAUUACUGGGCGUAAAGGGCACGCAGGCGGUUAAUUAAGUUGGAUGUGAAAUCCCCGGGCUUAACCUGGGAAUGGCAUUCAAGCUGGUUAGCUAGAGUCUUGUAGAGGGGGUAGAAUUCCAUGUGUAGCGGUGAAAUGCGUAGAGAUGUGGAGGAAUACCGGUGGCGAAGGCGGCCCCUGGACAAAGACUGACGCUCAUGUGCGAAAGCGUGGGGAGCGAAACAGGGAUUUAGAUACC